GAGCAAUCCCUGAGUACAGUGGCGUACGGGUGAGUAACACGUGGGUAAUCUGCCCUUUGGUGGGGAAUAACCCUGGGAAACCGGGGCUAAUACCGCAUAAGUCCGAGAGGAGAAAGCAGCAAUGCGCCGAAGGAGGAGCCCGCGGCCGAUUAGCUAGUUGGUAGGGUAAAGGCCUACCAAGGCAAAGAUCGGUAGCCGGCCUGAGAGGGCACACGGCCACACUGGCACUGAAACACGGGCCAGACUCCUACGGGAGGCAGCAGUGGGGAAUCUUGCACAAUGGGGGAAACCUUGAUGCAGCGACGCCGCGUGAGCGAUGAAGCCCUUCGGGGUGUAAAGCUCUUUCGGCAGGGAAGAUGAUGACGGUACCUGCAGAAGCAGCUGCGGCUAACUACGUGCCAGCAGCCGCGGUAA
This 414-nucleotide ribosomal RNA is filed under the name uncultured bacterium. RNAcentral's name for it is "bacterial SSU rRNA". It matches the Rfam family "Bacterial small subunit ribosomal RNA", at positions 77 to 523 of the family's 1533-position model. The record is from RNAcentral.